AGAGAGAGGUGACCAGUGGUGGUGAGAGAGACGGUGGCGAAAGGGGGACUCCACCUUCAGACUCGUGUGUGUGUGAGGAGAGUGUUACAGAGAAAGGAGAUGUGUGUUACAUGAAUCGUGUGUGUGUGUGUGUGUUUGAGACAGUGAGGGAGAUGAAGGGAAUGAUACAGAGAGGAAGAGAUCGAGAAGAAGGAAAAUAAAAAGAUGAAUUCUUGGCCAUUGGAUUACAAAUAAUCAAUGGUCAGAAAUAUUAAUCCAAAUUUUGAAGAAUGGACCAAUAAAAACGAAGGAGGAAGCUCACAAAAGAGUGAUUUUUAGCCUUUGGAUCAAAACUAAUCAAAGACCCAAAAUAAAACUAAUAAGAAUUUAUGUUCAUUUAUCUAUAAUCAUCUUUUUGUGUUGUUUUUUAUUUAAUGAUUUUAUUUUUAUUUUUGAAUUGUAUAAUGUAAAUUUGAAAUAUUAUACAUAGUCUGAGAUAUAUAUUAUAAAAAUUAUAUUUUAUUUAAAGUUUGAGGUUUAAUGUUCUUAUGAUAUAUGUUAAAGUAUGUGGUUUAGGGAUUAUAUUGUUAGGGUUUGAUUGGAGAUUUAAGGCUUGUAUUUUGAAAGUUAUAUAUUAAUAUUAAAAAGAGUAAAUUUCGAGUUUAUGUUUAAGAUCUAAAGUUAUAGUAUGAGAAUAUUAGAGUUUUAAGUUGUGUUUUAUAGUUUAGGGAUUAAAAACUUGUUUAGGGUUUAGGGAUUCAAAAAGCUAAAUAUAGCAUUUCAUUAUAUUAUGCUAUUAAAAAUAGGUUAUCAUAGCGUUUCCGAAUAUAUCAUUCUAUCAUAGCGUUUUCAAAUAUACAAACGCUAUCUAAAAUUAAGGGGUAUAUUAACCGUAGCAGAAAGACAAAAAACGCUAUACUCUAGUGCUAUGA
Molecule: long non-coding RNA, 911 nt
Filed under: Brassica napus (rape)
Lineage: Eukaryota; Viridiplantae; Streptophyta; Magnoliopsida; Brassicales; Brassicaceae
Description: long non-coding RNA (BNAP_LNC007017)
Source: RNAcentral